GGAUGUAAGGGGGAUCUGGCUGUGACAUCUGUCACCCCACUGAUCGCCAGGGUUGAUUCGGCUGAUCUGGCUGGCUAGGCGGGCGUCCCCUUCCUCCCUCACCACUCGAGGUGCGUCCCUCCCAAAGCUGCACGCUCGGUCAAAGAGGACGACCUUCCCCGAGAGAGGAGGACCAUUCUUUGGUCCAGGGUAUACGAGUAGCUGUGCUCCCUGCUAGAACCUGCAAACAAGCUCUCAAGGUCCCACAGUAGAUGGUGAGGGCAGGGACCAUGAUGAUGAUGAU
Molecule: unclassified non-coding RNA, 283 nt
Organism: Ursus americanus (American black bear)
Lineage: Eukaryota; Metazoa; Chordata; Mammalia; Carnivora; Ursidae
Gene: 7SK
Rfam family: 7SK RNA
About the family: 7SK was discovered as an abundant small nuclear RNA in the mid-70s but a possible function has only recently been suggested. Two independent studies have found that 7SK RNA binds the CDK9/cyclin T complex (known as elongation factor P-TEFb).
Source: Ensembl